Non-coding RNA from Arthrobacter sp. RIT-PI-e, 118 nucleotides. NCBI's taxonomy places the organism in Bacteria, Bacillati, Actinomycetota, Actinomycetes, Micrococcales, Micrococcaceae. The record is from Rfam.
AAUCAAGAGUUCCAGCCCAUGGCCCUGGCCGGCUGGACAGCAACCCUCUCCCGUAGUGGGGUGCUCCAGGUGAAGAUUCGGCCGCCGGGACAAGUCCCCCGGAUGGCAAGUACGGCUU